GGAAAUGUGCCUGGACCUCUCUCAUCCAUCUGGAUCUGCUUGUUUUCUGUUCCCUACCGUGAGAAGCAGUGAAGUGGCUCCUGCAGAGACAUCUCCCAAGGUUGUUCUUGACAAACAAGUACAACACUGCUUUGCACCUAGAAACCUGCCAAGAAGCUGUGUCAGACACAAGCAGCACCAAAAGGCCAGAGGUGUCCUGCAUUUGAGAAAUUUCUCAUUCUGUACCCACCUGACCAGUGCUGAAAGCUGUGGAAAUCUGUCUAACAACACGUGCUGAUAUUGGGAACAAAGUGCUAUCAGUCUGAAACCCGGUCACAUACUUGAAGGCAUGAGUAAGAAAAC
Long non-coding RNA from Gallus gallus (chicken), 342 nucleotides. The record is from Ensembl. NCBI's taxonomy places the organism in Eukaryota, Metazoa, Chordata, Aves, Galliformes, Phasianidae.